GACGAACGCUGGCGGCGUGCUUAACACAUGCAAGUCGAACGGAAAGGCCCUGCUUUUGUGGGGUGCUCGAGUGGCGAACGGGGGAGUAACACGUGAGUAACCUGCCCUUGACUUUGGGAUAACUUCAGGAAACUGGGGCUAAUACCGGAUAGGAGCUCCUGCUGCAUGGUGGGGGUUGGAAAGUUUCGGCGGUUGGGGAUGGACUCGCGGCUUAUCAGCUUGUUGGUGGGGUAGUGGCUUACCAAGGCUUUGCCGGGUAGGCGGCCUGAGAGGGUGACCGGCCACAUUGGGACUGGGAUACGGCCCAGACUCCUACGGGAGGCAGCGGUGGAGAAUAUUGCACAAUGGGCGGAGGCCUGAUGCAGCAACGCCGCGUGCGGGAUGACGGCCUUCGGGUUGUAAACCGCUUUCGCCUGUGACGAAGCGUGAGUGACGGUAAUGGGUAAAGAAGCACCGGCUAACUACGUG
This 468-nucleotide ribosomal RNA is filed under the name uncultured bacterium. RNAcentral describes it as "partial 16S ribosomal RNA". It matches the Rfam family "Bacterial small subunit ribosomal RNA", at positions 28 to 507 of the family's 1533-position model. The record is from RNAcentral.